This 373-nucleotide ribosomal RNA is filed under the name uncultured bacterium. RNAcentral describes it as "bacterial SSU rRNA". It matches the Rfam family "Bacterial small subunit ribosomal RNA", at positions 523 to 898 of the family's 1533-position model. The record is from RNAcentral.
AUACGUAGGGGGCGAGCGUUGUCCGGAAUUACUGGGCGUAAAGGGCGCGUAGGCGGUAGGGCAAGUCAGAUGUGAAAGUCCAGGGCUCAACCCUGGAAUUGCAUUUGAAACUGUCCUACUUGAGUGCAGGAGAGGAGAGCGGAAUUCCUAGUGUAGCGGUGAAAUGCGUAGAGAUUAGGAAGAACACCAGUGGCGAAGGCGGCUCUCUGGACUGUAACUGACGCUGAGGCGCGAAAGCGUGGGUAGCGAACAGGAUUAGAUACCCUGGUAGUCCACGCCGUAAACGAUGAGUGCUAGGUGUUGGGUGUCGAAGCCCAGUGCCGCAGUUAACACAAUAAGCACUCCGCCUGGGGAGUACGACCGCAAGGUUGAA